Molecule: non-coding RNA, 46 nt
Organism: Schistosoma rodhaini
Lineage: Eukaryota; Metazoa; Platyhelminthes; Trematoda; Strigeidida; Schistosomatidae
Source: Rfam
ACACUGUUUAGGAGUCCAACAAUAGGACGAAACAGCCGUCCAGUGU